AGGGGUAUAGCUCAACUGGCAGAGCGCUGGUCUCCAAAACCAGAGGUUGGGGGUUCGAUUCCCUCUGCCCCUG
RNAcentral lists this transfer RNA (73 nucleotides) under Rhizobacter sp. Root29. It matches the Rfam family "tRNA". From Rfam's summary of the family: Transfer RNA (tRNA) molecules are approximately 80 nucleotides in length. Their secondary structure includes four short double-helical elements and three loops (D, anti-codon, and T loops). Further hydrogen bonds mediate the characteristic L-shaped molecular structure. tRNAs have two regions of fundamental functional importance: the anti-codon, which is responsible for specific mRNA codon recognition, and the 3' end, to which the tRNAs corresponding amino acid is attached (by aminoacyl-tRNA synthetases). tRNAs cope with the degeneracy of the genetic code in two manners: having more than one tRNA (with a specific anti-codon) for a particular amino acid; and 'wobble' base-pairing, i.e. permitting non-standard base-pairing at the 3rd anti-codon position. The record is from Rfam by way of RNAcentral. Lineage: Bacteria; Pseudomonadati; Pseudomonadota; Betaproteobacteria; Burkholderiales; Sphaerotilaceae.